Molecule: long non-coding RNA, 269 nt
Filed under: Ricinus communis (castor bean)
Lineage: Eukaryota; Viridiplantae; Streptophyta; Magnoliopsida; Malpighiales; Euphorbiaceae
Description: long non-coding RNA (RCOM_LNC000163)
Source: RNAcentral
AUGUUUUAGAUUUAAUUUUGAUGAAUGUGUUUAGUUCUCUAGACCUUGUUCUUUUUAGUGGACGACAACUCCCUUCUGCUUCUCUAUGAGUAUGUCUUGCACUUAAAUUCUCGCCUUCCAUGUGUGAUGCCCGUAUGUUGAUAUGAUUAUCGAGAUGUGAGUGCUAAUAGAAGUACACAAAUUUGUAUUUGUUAGGAACUUGCCUCAAGAAAAGCCCCAACUAACCUACACAACUUAAUACUAUGGCCCUCAUCACAAAGAUAAAGAAA